GAACGCUAGCGGCAGGCUUAACACAUGCAAGUCGAGGGCAGCGCGGGAGUAGCAAUACUUCUGGCGGCGACCGGCGGAAGGGUGCGUAACGCGUGAGCAACAUUCCCGCAUCUGGGGGAUAAGCACUGGAAACGGUGUCUAAUACCCCAUAACAACGGAUUCCACAUGGAGACCGUUUGAAAGCUGCGACGGAUGCGGAUUGGCUCGCGUGACAUUAGCUAGUCGGCGGGGUAACGGCCCACCGAGGCGACGAUGUCUAGGGGUUCUGAGAGGAAGGUCCCCCACACUGGAACUGAGACACGGUCCAGACUCCUACGGGAGGCAGCAGUGAGGAAUAUUGGUCAAUGGGCGGAAGCCUGAACCAGCCAUGCCGCGUGAAGGAAUAAGGCCCUAUGGGUCGUAAACUUCUUUUGUGGUGGAGCAAUAAGGGCUACGCGUAGUCCGAUGAGAGUACAUCACGAAUAAGCAUCGGCUAACUCCGUGCCAGCAGCCGCGGUAAUACGGAGGAUGCAAGCGUUAUCCGGAUUUAUUGGGUUUAAAGGGUGCGUAGGCUGUGCCGCAAGUCGGGGGUGAAAGCCCGGGGCCCAACCCCGGAACUGCCCUUGAUACUGCGGCGCUGGAGUUCGGAUGCCGUGGGAGGAAUGAGUAGUGUAGCGGUGAAAUGCAUAGAUAUUACUCAGAACACCGAUUGCGAAGGCAUCUCACGAAUCCGACACUGACGCUGAGGCACGAAAGCGUGGGGAUCAAACAGGAUUAGAUACCCUGGUAGUCCACGCAGUAAACGAUGAUGACUAACUGUCGGCGAUAAACAGUCGGUGGCCA
Molecule: ribosomal RNA, 822 nt
Filed under: uncultured bacterium
Lineage: Bacteria
Description: bacterial SSU rRNA
Rfam family: Bacterial small subunit ribosomal RNA
Source: RNAcentral